UACCAGCUCAAAUUUGAAAUCUGGCUCCCCGCGGAGUCCGAGUUGUAAUUUGUAGAAGAUGCUUUGGGUACUUGGCCUGGCCUAAGUUCCUUGGAACAGGACGUCAUAGAGGGUGAGAAUCCCGUAUGCGGCCGGCGUCGGUGCCCGUGUAAAGCUCUUUCGACGAGUCGAGUUGUUUGGGAAUGCAGCUCAAAAUGGGUGGUAAAUUUCAUCUAAAGCUAAAUAUGGGCCAGAGACCGAUAGCGCACAAGUAGAGUGAUCGAAAGAUGAAAAGCACUUUGGAAAGAGAGUUAAACAGUACGUGAAAUUGUUGAAAGGGAAGCGCUUGCAACCAGACUUGGGCGUCGCUGAUCAUCCAAAGACUUUCUCUGGUGCACUCGACGACGCACAGGCCAGCAUCGGUUGGAGUGGUGGGAGAAAGGUUGCCGGAACGUGGCUCUCUUCGGAGAGUGUUAUAGCCGGCGACGCAAUACCGCCUACCCUGACCGAGGACCGCGCUUCGGCUAGGAUGCUGGCGUAAUGGUUGUAAGCGACCCG
This 537-nucleotide ribosomal RNA is filed under the name Phyllactinia mali. RNAcentral describes it as "eukaryotic LSU rRNA". It matches the Rfam family "Eukaryotic large subunit ribosomal RNA", at positions 102 to 651 of the family's 3401-position model. The record is from RNAcentral. Lineage: Eukaryota; Fungi; Ascomycota; Leotiomycetes; Helotiales; Erysiphaceae.